Molecule: ribosomal RNA, 373 nt
Filed under: uncultured bacterium
Lineage: Bacteria
Description: bacterial SSU rRNA
Rfam family: Bacterial small subunit ribosomal RNA
Source: RNAcentral
GGAGGGGGCUAGCGUUGUUCGGAAUUACUGGGCGUAAAAGAGUGCGUAGGCGGUUUAGUAAGUUGGAAGUGAAAGCCCCGGGGCUUAACCUCGGAAUUGCUUUCAAAACUAACUAAUCUAGAGUGUAGUAGGGGAUGAUGGAAUUCCUAGUGUAGAGGUGAAAUUACUUAGAUAUUAGGAGGAACACCGGUGGCGAAGGCGGUCAUCUGGGCUACAACUGACGCUGAUGCACGAAAGCGUGGGAGCAAACAGGAUUAGAUACCCUGGUAGUCCACGCCGUAAACGAUGAGUGCUAGAUAUUGGGAGAUUUUACUCUUCGGUUUCGCAGCUAACGCAUUAAGCACUCCGCCUGGGGAGUACGGUCGCAAGAUUA